CCAGACUUGACAUGCAGUGGACGUGUGUGGAAACACACAUUCCCUUCGGGGCCGCUGCACAGGUGCUGCAUGGCUGUCGUCAGCUCGUGUCGUGAGAUGUUGGGUUAAGUCCCGCAACGAGCGCAACCCUUGUCCUUAGUUGCUAACAGGUGAUGCUGAGCACUCUAAGGAGACUGCCGGUGAUAAACCGGAGGAAGGUGGGGAUGACGUAAGUCCUCAUGGCCCUUACGUCUGGGGCUACACACGUGCUACAAUGGUCGGUACAAAGGGUUCCGAAACCGCGAGGUGGAGGCAAUCCCAAAAAACCGGUCUCAGUUCGGAUUGCAGUCUGCAACUCGACUGCAUGAAGUCGGAAUCGCUAGUAAUCGCUGAUCAGCAGGCAGCGGUGAAUACGUUCCC
RNAcentral lists this ribosomal RNA (399 nucleotides) under uncultured bacterium. RNAcentral describes it as "bacterial SSU rRNA". It matches the Rfam family "Bacterial small subunit ribosomal RNA", at positions 975 to 1375 of the family's 1533-position model. The record is from RNAcentral.